Molecule: ribosomal RNA, 299 nt
Filed under: uncultured bacterium
Lineage: Bacteria
Description: partial 16S ribosomal RNA
Rfam family: Bacterial small subunit ribosomal RNA
Source: RNAcentral
GAUGAACGCUGGCGGCGUGCCUAAUACAUGCAAGUCGGACGGAGCGCUUCGGCGCUCAGUGGCGAACGGGUGAGUAGCACAUGGGCAACCUGCCCUUCAGAGGGGGACAACAGCUGGAAACGACUGCUAAUACCGCAUAAGCCCACGGCCCGGCAUCGGGCUGAGGGAAAAGGAUUUAUUCGCUUCAGGAUGGACUCGCGUCCAAUUAGCUAGUUGGUGAGGUAACGGCCCACCAAGGCGACGAUUGGUAGCCGGACUGAGAGGUUGAACGGCCACAUUGGGACUGAGACACGGCCCAG